AAGUCAAAUGUGGUCAGUUCCAUUGGGAAGUGGGGUUUUCAUCAGCAGGGACUCUGCGGCAACUCACCUGCUUUCUGCUCCAAGAGUCCAGCACCCUGAGAUCCUGAUGCCAGGGUAAGCUGGGGGACUGCUCAUAGCCAAAGAUGCAGAAACCAGAAUGAAAGGCCUACAGCAGAGACUGAAGAGAGGAAGGCUCAUCACUUGGACCACCAAAGAACUAAGAAAGGUCUCAAGAUCCCUCUGCUAUGGUUAAAUCUAGUCAAGCAACCCAUCCCGGUGCUACUGUGGAAUUCCUGCAAGAGGCAGGAGGCGGUUCAGUCAUCAAAGCCAUUUUUACAAGGCAUCAAGGAGUCCUGGCUCUUGUGUUUGGAAGACGGGUCAGCUGAGGUCCGGAACCAAUUCUAGGGCAAGAAAACUUGCAAUAAAGACUGAUAACUUUGGUCUAAA
This 447-nucleotide long non-coding RNA is filed under the name Mus spretus (western wild mouse). RNAcentral's name for it is "lncRNA (ENSMSPG00010004263.1)". The record is from RNAcentral. Lineage: Eukaryota; Metazoa; Chordata; Mammalia; Rodentia; Muridae.